Molecule: ribosomal RNA, 495 nt
Filed under: uncultured bacterium
Lineage: Bacteria
Description: partial 16S ribosomal RNA
Rfam family: Bacterial small subunit ribosomal RNA
Source: RNAcentral
GACGAACGCUGGCGGCGUGCCUAAUACAUGCAAGUAGAACGCUGAAGGAGGAGCUUGCUUCUCUGGAUGAGUUGCGAACGGGUGAGUAACGCGUAGGUAACCUGCCUGGUAGCGGGGGAUAACUAUUGGAAACGAUAGCUAAUACCGCAUAAGAGUAGAUGUCGCAUGACAUUUGCUUAAAAGGUGCAAUUGCAUCACUACCAGAUGGACCUGCGUUGUAUUAGCUAGUUGGUGAGGUAACGGCUCACCAAGGCAACGAUUCAUAGCCGACCUGAGAGGGUGAUCGGCCACACUGGGACUGAGACACGGCCCAGACUCCUACGGGAGGCAGCAGUAGGGAAUCUUCGGCAAUGGACGGAAGUCUGACCGAGCAACGCCGCGUGAGUGAAGAAGGUUUUCGGAUCGUAAAGCUCUGUUGUAAGAGAAGAACGAGUGUGAGAGUGGAAAGUUCACACUGUGACGGUAUCUUACCAGAAAGGGACGGCUAACUACGUG